Molecule: long non-coding RNA, 7449 nt
Filed under: Taeniopygia guttata (zebra finch)
Lineage: Eukaryota; Metazoa; Chordata; Aves; Passeriformes; Estrildidae
Description: lncRNA (ENSTGUG00000025241.1)
Source: RNAcentral
UUUUUUUUUUUUUUUUUUGGUGUGCCUGUGGAAGAAAAGCUCAUCUGCAGCAGAAUAUCAUAUUAAAGCACAUCAGUGCAGUCCCUAUGCAACACCCAGUUCCCAAGCUGCAGCGCCUCCUUUUUUCCAGAAACUCUUCGGGAAAAAAAAAAUCAACAUUUUUGUUCACAGAAUUUCAGCUGAAAAUUCUUUUGAGAUAGUCUUUUCUAUCAAAAAGCUGUCAGCUUUCCCACUGAAGUCUGGAACAGAGUCAAAGUGACAACUUUUUCCUCUGUUUUGCUUUAAAGUGCCAUAUUCCUAUUUUUUAUUUUUUUGGAAUGGAAUAAAAGCAAACAUGACACAGUUGUAUUUCCAUUCCAGCUAUCAUUUUGUUUCUCCUUUUUUUUUUUUUAACUGAGAAACAGAAAUGAAAUAUUUUUAAUCAAAACAUUGAUUUUUAAACUGUUUGUUUCAAAUACCCCCUUGGAAAACCCUUUUUUUUUUUUUUUUUUCCUGUAAAAGAACUGAUGUUGUUCUCCUUCCCAGAAAAGUUCAUUUUCAACAUUUCUAUGUUUCUUUUUCCCUGCAGGAACACUUGCUGCACAUAAGUUCAAUCUAUGCAAAUUCAUUUCUCUUCCUUGUCCAGACAUGGGCUGCAGGAUGGGUCCUGGGAAAACCCCUCUUCAGUUUGUGUCAAGGCUCUAAAGAGAGGCUGCAAUCUCACUCCAGCUGACAAGGGUGGGACCCACUGCCUCUGAGUACACUUCACUUUUGCCACAGUGUACAUCCAAAUAUCAAGGACAGUGCAAAAAUUACUGGAAUGUCAGUAGCCGCAGAAAAGUUGGGCAGCAACCUUUUGUUGGUGGCUGACAAUAAAAUUUCUUCCAGAGUUUGUGGUCAAACACACGUGGAUUUGAUAGUCCUCAGAGCUCUCUAGAAAAUCAUAUUUCCAUCAAAAAGUGAAAUGUUUAGGGCACAGUGAGAGACCCUGCUCAUUGAGGGUAGCCUUAACCUGCCUCCCUCAGCCUGAGGACCUGGCUAUCAAAUUUUGUUCAGCAAUCCAGUGCUCCAAUGUCACUUUGCAUAGGAGAGGUAAAAGCCCUUUUUGGUCAAGAGCAAAGAUCCACAGCCCAAUUUAAAGCAUUUUACUUUGGUGCCAGGCCUGUGGCAAUAUCAGUGUGUCUGCCUGCAUUUUGUUUUCAGGACUUAGGGAAAUAAAGAACUUUCAAACUCCUUAGCAGAGCUGACUCUGCUGUACAAUCCUUCUUUAUAUAUAAUCCACACAGUGAUGGUAAUGUGGCUAGAAAUAUUUGCCAGCAAGGGAUUGAGUGGGUGUGAAACGGGUUUGCAGAAUUAUUGCUAGACUAUUUAAUUUUGACUUUAGAUACAUAUGCUUCUCCCUGCUUCUGCACAUUGCUCACUUCAUCGCUUUGGCUUCACACCUUUCCUACAACAGUCCUGGUCAAGCUUGUCUGGUUUUGUCUUAUAUUCACUGUUGGUUCAUGAAGUGCUGUUUCUUGAAGGACAUUUCCAAAACCCUGGUUGCAGAUCCACCACUCAACAGCACUCUAUCCAUUUCCACUGAGAAAAACUGAUUAGUCAGUCCUCAGUUCCCUUUCCCCGGAAGGCAUGUGGAGGCAGCACACAGCAAAUCAAGAACUAAUGCCUCUGCUAGAAGAACUUUACUAAGGAUAAAUCUUGCAUAACAACUUAGCUAGAAGACUAUCUAUGUAACAUAGAAAGCAUUAGAAAAUGCCCACUGGAGUAUCCCUCAGAACUUCAAGGUUGCUUAAUGGUCCAAACAAGUUAGCAGCUUUCCUCAUUGCUAUUUAUGUUGCACCUUCAUUUUUAUAUUUUAAAACAAUCAGAGCCUUCAGCAUUAAAAGUGGCACCUGCAAUGCUGAGCUCAUAUCUGCAAUAGGGAGAAGCCCAGUAAAUAUUAUGGAGGAGAUUACUGGUGGAAAUGCUGCUGCUACUGCAUCCAUUGCAGAUCCACACACAAAAUGGCUUUUUCAACCUCAUGUCUAUUCAUCCAGACAGCCAGAUUAGCAAAGUGAGAGGUUAGAGCACCUCCUGGCCACCUGGUUUAGUGCAGCGCCUAACCCUCUCUCUGUGGUUUAGCACUGACUUCCCCUUACAUCUUCUUUCCCAUCUGUCAGCAUCAUCUUCCAACCUGCAACACAGAAUCCAGCUGCUGUCAGAGACAGAUCCAUUAACCACUGCAGAAACUUGUGCAUGAAAACUAAUUCAGAGCCCAGACCCUCAUGCCUAAAGGGAGCGCAGCUCUGUAGGUGUGGGCAAAAUGAGACACAGAAGUCAGAGAACACCAGCUACAUGAUAAACUCAUUCUGUCCUUAUGCUCUUUCUUCAAAGUAAGAGGAGAAUGUAACUCUUGCUGAUGUCAAUGUGAGAUAUUUUGUACCCGGAGGAAGGUGAGAGAGCACGAAGUAACUCCUAGCACCUUCCCCAAGAUCUGAGGAAUCAAGCUGUUGGGAGUCUACUGCAGGUGUUAAAAAACAAUCAAUCAAACAAACAAACAAAAAAAAAAAAACAGAAAAAAAAAAAAGAGAAAGGAACAACGACCAAAAAAGCAAACAAAAAAAUUCCAAAAACCGAAACACAAACAAACAAAAAUCCACUCAAUUGUCCAGAUAAGAAAGAAAGAAGUGCUGAGGCAUUUUGAACAAAAGGUGGGUUAGAAACUGAGUUGCAGUAAUAUCUUGGGAAGACAACUGCUCUCAACAAGCACUGUGUUUUUAAAGGUAGCAGUGGUAGUAGUCAGAGCUGAAACACUUCAGACAAAUUUAAAACUCAGCUCUGAUGCAGUGACACUGCUGACGGCUUCCCCAUGCACCUAAGCCACAUGAAGAACUCUCCUUAUUUGGUCCUCCUCCUGCCUCCCUCCUUUGUGCUUCAGAGGCAUCUCCCAACCUCACACACUCUCACUUCAAGAGGAGUCAGGAAUUUUUUUUCAAGGCUAGAUGUGAACCAGAGCCAUAAAGGAAAGCACUCCCCAGUUCAGGGUUAUGUGCUGCUCUUGCACAGAAUCCACGUUCUCCAGGGCCUGUAAGGUCACUAACAAUUCAUGGGUCUUCCCAGUUAUUUCAUGUGCCUGCACACACAAGAACCCUGCUAUUAAAGAAUACAUAGAUCACCACACCUCUAUGGGGUUUACACAAUACUGAUAAAAUCUAUUACCCCAGGUCAUGACAACCAGGCAAACUGCUUUUACUCAUAUUUAUACAGUUCCCCAGUGCUGGGGCCUCUGAGCUAGGCAGCCCCUGGGUCUGUGUGUGUGUGUGUGUGUUUGUAGCAGUCUGACCAAAGAGGUGCACCACACCUGCAUUACACUGCUGAAGAAACAAGGAAACCCAGAUGGGGCAAAAGUGCUCAGCACAAGCAUAAAAAUGUGGCCUCUCUGAGUGACCACCCCACCUCCAAGCAGAGGGGCAAAGGCUGUCUCAGCAGGAUGACAUCCAUGCUUCUUCCUGUGGUGGGCUGCAAUUUUCCUCUUAAGGCCUUGAAAAAAAGAAAGAAACACAUAGAAAGGUAAUCUUUCAGCAGAGACUGAUAUUUAGGGGUUAGAUUAAACCAAACUGAACAGGUUUAGCCGAGUGCAGCAGUGAAGCAGAGGUUUCAGCCUUCAAAGAAAACUUUGCAGGGUGUGUGCAAGGUGCAGCAGUGAGAAAAGCUUGGCAUGGAUGACUCUGGAUUAGUCUGGUGGCAGAAUCCAUCAGUGCACAGCUGCACUAACUGCACACUAGCACGGAUCAGUACAAUAGAGAGUCUGAGUCACCAUCACGAGCCAGAUGGAUGAGACAUCACAGUGCCAAGUCAUGGCAGAAGAGAGUGGAGCACGCAAAUGUCACCCAAACCUCCCCAGCCAGAGGGUAUGCAUAAGAGGAAAAGGGAAGCACAUCACAAAAUGGUGUGAAGCUGUACUUUACAAAAGUGGGGAAGGGCACACCAUUACAAGUAAUUUUGGUACAUGUCUAAUAAAUCAGAUCAGCUACCCUGAAGCAGAGGCUAGCAGAGAAAGAGAAGGACAGGGGCUCCAACACAAUCAUCUGGACUGAAGUCAAAAGGGGCAUAGGUAUAACCCCAGUGCUGCAUGAGACCCACUGCAACACCUAGGAAUGGACACCUUCCCAUCAAAGUGUGGGCUUGAUAGAGAACUUAUUACACAAGGCACCUGUACAGCAUCUGUUAUGCACUCACAGGAUCAAAAAUCACAAGUCUGAGAGGUAACUAGAUACCCAGUUUUGUCAAGCCAUAGACAGCCACAAAAGGAAGUCCAGGCUUACACAUAUUCAGUAUGCUGCUCAGGUCACUGCAAGCACACUUAACAGUUGUUUAGCUCUACACUGGCCUCGUUUUCUUAACUGCUUUUUUCGGGCUGCCAUUUUCAUGACUUCACCUCAUAAAGAGGCCUAUUUAGUUCAGUUAAAAUGAAACAAAUGCCACAAACAACAUAAAACAAGAUGUACAUACUGUCAGUGUUGGAUGGAAGGUGGGAUGUACCAGGCAUGCCCUCAACCCUUACAGACAUCAGAUGACUCUGUCAAGUCUUGCAUGCCUGGCGUACAAUUCACGUAAUCACCUUUUUCUCUUUGCUCUCCUGUGGCUGGCCUUGAGCCUCUGCUUUUGGUACAUCCCAACUUCUCUUCUUGUGUAACUCUCAUCCAAAAUGCAUUUGGCUAAGGAUGUCUGUGGCUCGUGUGGGGGAUUACAGAAUAAGAGAGAAGCCCCGAUGCCACGCAAUAUUCGGGAUGGUGCUGCCAGGGAGGGCCUGCUACACCACUCAAGCCCCACCUAAGUAGUUGUUCUUUUUCAAUUAAUCCUGUUCCCUUGCCCUCACACCCACACCUUAUAUUUCUGAUUGGAACGGAGCUCUGGUGUUGGGAAGGAUCUAUACACAUUACUUUUCAGGAAAAUCAAGUUGAGAAGGUAUCUAAGAUUGAACUUCUCAUUCAGAGAGAGCUCCAGGGCUUAUGCAAAACUGCUCCUCACACUGGGGAAGGUGGAAGACUCAGAUAUAAUGAACACAGCAAAAGCCAAUUCAUUGAAAAGUUGAGCAUGGAGAAAAGCAUAAAACUCAGGGACCUCAGGCUGUUGUAGCAGUUCAGUGUCAUCAGACUUGGUCUGAAACUGGACUCAGGGCAAAGAAAGGAUAGAUAGCACAUGACUGGCCUCCAUCCUCAUUCCUUAUUUUAGUCUUGGUGCACAAGAGCAGGAUGGGAAGUUGGGCUGAUCAUUAGGACGCACUUUUAAUCAGACCUUCAUGAAGAUCACAAAGUCAUCAGCUUGCGGUGACGGAUUGCCAGGGACUCCAUGAUGAAUGCAUUUGCAAAUAUUGCUGCAGAAUAAUUUCCUUCCGUCGCCAGAGCACUCCAAACAAAUUAGAUUCCCUCUAAUCACAUCUCCUGUCUGUGGAUGAGGAAAGAUGGGCCCGUCAGCACAAAUGCAUUUAGGGGGUGGGCAGUGGAGGGGAGAGAGUGGGAGGUAAGGGGUGAGGUGCAGUGAUGCAGCAGGCAGGCAGAUGAGGUGCUGGAAAGUUGCCCAGCUUUGAGGAGAGUCUUUCAGCAGUGGUGUGGAUACACGGUAAUCCCAAGCAUGUUAACAGCUCUCCCCUUGCUUGCACACACAUACACAUGAAUCCUGGAGGAUGGAGUAGGAAAAGCCAGCAAUUCACAUGGAAUUUUAUAAUGGUGCAGAAUAAGAGGAAGGAGAAUAAUGCCAGCAUCAUUUAUGCCAGAGGGUGCAGCCCUCACUGAAGUUGCAGAGAUGAGCAUAAAAGCAGUUUCUAUGAUGAGGCAAAGCUUGUGCUGCUUCCCAGUGUCUUUCCCAUGCCCUACCCCAAGCUGGGGUUCUUGAAUUAGAGAAUCAGAAGAAGAUUUGCUGAUAAUCCAGUGCAGGUGACUCACAAGAUGGGGACCUAGUUGGGAAAUGUUAAUUAGUGCCAGGUGGACAUUAUGCCAUGCUGGAGGCAUUCAACAAAGUGACAGCUCUUUUAAUUUCAACUAAGUCUAAGCAUAUUAGUUUAAGCUCUUUGAAAUUAGGGACAUAACAGGCCUCAAGUUUAAAGACAAACAAAGGAUGAACAGCACUGCUUUCUUAAAAAUGGAAAAAGCUAUAUGAAGGAGAAUGGCCUAAGUAAGAUGUCUGAAGGCUACUGUACUUCGCUACACCACAUUUAGAAUAAGUGCUGGAAGCUGGCCAGAAAUAUUAUUGCAGAGUAGCACGCUCAUGCUGAUAUCGUGUCUAUCAUCUACAUUUUUCCUGAAUGCAUGAAUUAACCCAACAAUAGCUUUCUCCUCCCUUGCCUGAAAAUUAAAGUGUCACCGCUUAGCAGCUGACCUGACAAGUCACAAGAAUGGACAAAUCCAAUCCACCGAGGUACGUCGGUAAUACAGCAAGCUGAAUAUUUCCUUUAUUCAGCUAUUCUCCAGCAUUGGCUUGAGAAUCAUUUUUGCUACGAAAUUGGAGGAGCCUGAUAUUCUGAGAAAGCUGAUUUUGCCACAUUUUCACACAGGAUAUGAGAGAGUGCAAUAUGGUGGAGAAGACAAAGAUCACGUGUACAUUCUCUGAAUACACAGCAGUAGGAACAGGCUGAGAGAGUUCAGUGAAUGAAAAGUCUAAGACAAGUAUGUAAAGAACACUGUGACACUCACUGUGCUUGCAGGCCUGUGUGUUAUCUGUUGAAGGACUUGGGAGUUGUGCUUUACUCAUUUCCCUGCUCAGAGGAGCUAGAGUAGUUUUUGGCUUCUCACUCCAUAGUUGGUACCAACUUUCUGUUCACAGUCCCCAUUUCUGGCAGCUCAGAAACUCUGCCAACAGCUCUCUACUGAAGAAAAAAUGUAAGCCCAGUCCAUGCCCCUUUUAAUUAGCUUUGAGAUCUGAAACUGAGUGAACCGGCACAGAAGAGAGAAAGUAAAGACCAAGUCUUGUUACAAAUACAGCAGGGAGCGAGCUGUGGAAUGGCAAGUGGGGGGAGCAGAGGAAGGAGAGGGGAGCUGCUGCCCAAGCAAUUGGCCUUGUUUGCUCUCCUGGAAGCCUCUGUGUGCUUUUCCUCCAACGUGCACUGGAUUUAUAUAGGGGGAAAACCCUUAUGGCCAGUGGCUCAGAACAAGGCUUUGGGCAAGAAGCAGGCAGAAUGCUGCCAGCUUCCCCUCCUCUUGUCCACUCGUGCUCCCUUUUGCACUCAGGCACAGCAGGGCCUCCUUAUCAGGUAUGAUAAGCAGCAUUCCAGCGCUCAGCUGGCAGGCUUCCAGCUCACGUUCCAAGAGCCCGGCCGGGCGCUGCCGCUGUGUGAGCACACUUUAAUAAAACCCUGAUUUUUAUCUGAACAUUUUAUUAAUCCAAGCUCAGCCGUUUGCCAAAAAAGCCAACGCGCUGACUAUGCCAAUGAGUGUUCUAUCCAGCUUCUAAUGCCAAUGUACCUCUGCCCACAGAGUCUCCUCUGCUUCACAC